ACCACCCAGAUUCCUUAUCCUUCCGAUCCAAGCAUUGGUCUGAGUGGAAAACAGGAGGGAAAGUAAACCAAAAUGGACUUGGGUUCUUUAACGACAUACAAGUUCAUUUCAAACAUAU
Molecule: small nucleolar RNA, 118 nt
Filed under: Echinops telfairi (small Madagascar hedgehog)
Lineage: Eukaryota; Metazoa; Chordata; Mammalia; Afrosoricida; Tenrecidae
Description: Small nucleolar RNA SNORA61 (ENSETEG00000025453.1)
Source: RNAcentral